GCAUUGCCGAGGAGUCCCAAAAUAGGACGAAACGGCUGUCCAGUGU
Molecule: non-coding RNA, 46 nt
Filed under: Schistosoma bovis
Lineage: Eukaryota; Metazoa; Platyhelminthes; Trematoda; Strigeidida; Schistosomatidae
Also listed under: 1 other name
Source: RNAcentral